GUCAUUCUCUUGAGCCACUCCCGCGGCAUGUGGAGGUUCCCAGGCCAGGGGUUGAGUCAGAGCUGUAGCCGCCAGCCUACACCACAGCCACAGCAACACAGGAUCCAAGCAGUGUCUGCGACCUACACCACAGCUCACGGCAUCGCCGGAUCCUUAACCCACUGAGCAAGGCCAGGGGUCAAACCCGCAACCUCAAUCCAACCUGGCUAGUUGGAUUCGUUAACCACUGAGCCACGAUGGGAACUCCUCCCCAGAGUAAUUUAUUUUAAAAAAAUUUGCUUUUCAAGUUUAUUAUAAAUUAAGUGACCAUGUAUGUGUGUAUCAAUUUCUGGACUCUAAAUUCUAUUAUUUUGGUCUAUUUGUGUAUUUUUACAAUAAUUCUACACCCUAUAAAUUUAUAAGUCUUGAUACUUGAUGAUAGUCCUAUAGCUCUGUUCUUCCUCAAUAUUAUUUUGGCUAUGAUUAGCUCUUUGCAUUUCCAUGUGUAUUUUAGAAUCAGCUUUCCAAUAACUACCAAACACAUACUCUCACAUAAAACUGUGGGGGGUUUGCUUUGGCUUGCACUGAAUGUAUAGAUCAAUUUGGGGACAUUGUCUUCUUUACAAAGUUGUGCCUUCCAUUCCAUGAAGAUGGUAUACCCCUCCAUAUAUUUAGAUUUUCCAUAAUUUUUUCCAAUUGUGUAGUUAUCUUUUUGUUAUCGAUUUCUAGUUUAAUUGUAUUGUAGGCCAAGAACAUACUCUGUGUGAUUUAAAUUCUUUUAAACUCAUGGAGAUUUGCUUUGAUCAUGUAUACUGCCAGUUUGGGUAAAUAUUCCACGUUCGCUUGAAUACAGAUUAUAUUCUGCAGUUAGGGAAUGGAUGGGAGCCACAGCAGUGACAACACUGAAUUCUUUUUUUUUUUUUUUUGUCUUUUUCCCUUUUCUUGAGCCACUCCCUCAGCAUAUGGAGGUUCCCAGGCUAGGGGUCCAAUCAGAGCAGUAGCCACCGGCCUAUGCCACAGCCACAGCAAGGCGGGAUCCGAGCCACGUCUGCAACCUACACCAUAGCUCACGGCAACUCCAGAUCCUUAACCCACUGAGCAAGGCCAGGGAUUGAACCCGCAACCUCAUGGUUCCUAGUCAGAUUUGCCAACCACUGCACCACAAUGGGAACUCCUGACAACACUGAAUUCUUAACCCCUAAAUCACCAGGGAACUUCUGAAUGUUCUAUUAAUUGUAUUGUUCUACUUACUGAUUUUUUUGGUCUACUUCCUCUAUCAUUUUCUGAGAAAAAGAUUUACCUACUUCUCUAAAUUCAGUUAACUUUCAUUUUAUAUAUUUUAAGGCUAUUUAUUAUAUGCAUAAAAAAUUAGCAGUGUUAUGCUAAAUAGAGUUAAAUCAAUUCUGGUGGAUUGACUCUUUUAUCAUUAUCAAAUAUCAUUUUCUUAGUAAUAAUUUGUAUGUUUGUAAUAUUUAGUUUGUUAUGUAUAGUGACACUAUCUUUGUUUCCCUUAAUGUUUGUAUACUAUAUUGUGUUCUAUCCUCAACAUUCCUAUGUCUUUAUAUUUAAGGUGUGUUUCACAUAAUUAAGUUUUUGAAAUUCAGUCUCAGCAUCUUUAAAUUUUAAUUGAAGCAUUUGAUCCAUUUACACAUCAGUGUAAAUACUGAAAAUUACAUAUUUGAUUUAUAUCUAUAUCUUGUCAUUUUUCCUCUUUGUUGCUUUCUUUCCAAUUAUUCAAGCAUUUUUAAUAAUUUCAUUUUUACCCUCUAUUAUCUUUUUAGAUAUUACAUUAUUUUAUUUUAUUUCAGCACUAUUCAUAAUAGCCAAGAUACGGAAGCAACUUAAUUGUCCAACUACAGAUGAAUGGAUUAAGAUGUGGUAAAUAUAUAAAAUGUAAUACUACUCAGCCAUAAAAACAGAAUGAAAUAAUGCCUUUUGCAGCAACAUGGAUGCAACUAGAGAUUAUCAUGCUAAGUAAAGUAAGUCAGAAAGAGAAAGACAAAUACUAUAUGAUAUCACUUAUCUGUGGACUCUAAAAUAUGGAACAAAUGAACCUAUCUACAAAACAGAAACAGUCUCAUAGACACAGGGAACAGACCUGUGGUUGAUAAGGGGUUGGAGAGAGGGAGUGGGAUGGACUGAGAAUUUGCAAACUAUUACAUUUAGAAUGGAUAAGCAAUGAGGUCCUACUGUAUAGCACAGGCAACUAUAUCCAUUCUCUUGGGAUAGACCAUGAAUGAAGAUAAUAUAAGAAAGGAAAUGUGUGUGUGUGUAUGACUGACUGGGUCACUGUACAGUGGAAAUUGGCACAACGUUGUAAAUCAACUAUGGUUUUUUAAAAAACAAAUUAAUACUUUUGCUACAUCCUAGACAAUGAAUGGGCUUUAGUAGAAUACUUUAACUCCAUAUAUUUCCUUUCACUCGGGUAGGUUUUGGAAGAUAGGUUUCUUAGGUAAAAAAGGCAGGAGGAAGACAUUGAGAACAGCAAGUCUGGGUGCUGACCUUGCCCUCUCUCCAGACAUGAAGGAGAGAAAAGUAGAGGAUAUUCAGAGGGAGGAGCAUAGUUGGUUUUUUUUUUUUUUUUUUUUUCUUUUCUUUUUUCCUUCUUCUUUUAAUGGCUGCAUCUUAGGAUAUGGAAAUUCCCAGGCUAGGGACUGAAUUGGAGUGGCAGUCUGUAGCGGUGGGACUAUACCACAGCCCCAGCAACACUGGAUCAGAGCUGCAUCUGCAACCUAGCCACAGCUUGCAGCAACGCUGGAUCCUUAACCCACUGAGGGAGGGCAGGGAUUGAACCCACAUCCUCAAGGACACUAUGUAGGGUUCUCAACACACUAAGCCACAAUGGGAACUCUGGGGAGCAUAGUUUAAUGUGCUCUGACCAUGGAGUUAAGGUGAGGGAGGCUGAGAAACAAGCCUGGGAGUAAAUACAGGGAUUUAUCAUGAGGGUCCACCCAUCCAGUCUGGAUUUCACUCUGUGGGCAGUGGGAUUCAUUGGUAGUUUUUAGAGUUAAAACAGUGACAUGGCCAGAACUACCAUGUACAAGGGUCACUCAGUGCAGCAGAAUAGAGGAGCGACUGGGAAGGAAGGGACUGAACACAGGGAGAGUAGUCUGGAAGCAGUUGCAAUAAUAUUCCACAUUCAGUGGCUGCCUGGUGCAGAUAAUCAACCCCAAACUUCUAAUUGUGGUCUACAAGGCUCUGAUUGAUCUGGCCUCUAUUUACCAGUCUGAUCUCAGCUAUGUC
Molecule: long non-coding RNA, 3222 nt
Filed under: Sus scrofa (pig)
Lineage: Eukaryota; Metazoa; Chordata; Mammalia; Artiodactyla; Suidae
Description: lncRNA (ENSSSCG00000054951.1)
Source: RNAcentral